RNAcentral lists this long non-coding RNA (300 nucleotides) under Felis catus (domestic cat). RNAcentral describes it as "lncRNA (ENSFCAG00000047392.1)". The record is from RNAcentral. Lineage: Eukaryota; Metazoa; Chordata; Mammalia; Carnivora; Felidae.
UUCCUUCAGAAGAUGAGGAUCCUAGUAUUCAAGUAAAUUGUUGGAAUAAAGAUUAAUUAAGAUAAUAUAUAUAUAUAUAUAUAUAUAUAUAUAUAUAUAUAUAUAUAUAUAUAUCUGGUAAUGUGUUUCUUUUGUACCUUCAGAUCUACUUCUUAUACUUCUCAACUCUUCUCUCUGAUCUGGGUGUCCUACCUUUAUGGACUAUAACCAAUAUAUUACUUCAGAGAAGAUAUAGUAUAUCUAUCUUCACAUGCAGUAUUGAAUAAUUUAUCAUUACAUCGUACUCUGGAAAUGGAAAAA